Molecule: ribosomal RNA, 471 nt
Filed under: uncultured bacterium
Lineage: Bacteria
Description: bacterial SSU rRNA
Rfam family: Bacterial small subunit ribosomal RNA
Source: RNAcentral
AGGGUUCGAUUCUGGCUCAGGAUGAACGCUGGCGGCGUGCUUAACACAUGCAAGUCGAACGAACCUUCGGGUUAGUGGCGGACGGGUGAGUAACGCGUGAGAAUCUGCCCUCAGGAGGGGGAUAACGGUUGGAAACGACCGCUAAUACCCCAUAUGCCGAUAGGUGAAAUGAAUUUCGCCUGAGGAUGAGCUCGCGUCUGAUUAGCUUGUUGGUGAGGUAAUGGCUCACCAAGGCUUCGAUCAGUAGCUGGUCUGAGAGGAUGAUCAGCCACACUGGGACUGAGGCACGGCCCAGACUCCUACGGGAGGCAGCAGUGGGGAAUUUUCCGCAAUGGGCGAAAGCCUGACGGAGCAACGCCGCGUGAGGGACGAAGGCCUCUGGGCUGUAAACCUCUUUUCUCAAGGAAGAAGAUAUGACGGUACUUGAGGAAUAAGCCACGGCUAAUUCCGUGCCAGCAGCCGCGGUAAUAC